RNAcentral lists this long non-coding RNA (681 nucleotides) under Nicotiana benthamiana. Its description in RNAcentral is "long non-coding RNA (NBEN_LNC003400)". The record is from RNAcentral. Lineage: Eukaryota; Viridiplantae; Streptophyta; Magnoliopsida; Solanales; Solanaceae.
CCAUCACGACCGAAUUUAGGUCAUGACAUAUAUAUACAAUGAAUACAUUUAUGGGCUACAAAAAUCUUAUCAGAAUCAAAUCCUUUUUUUUAUGAAUGAAUUUAUUUGCAGAUAUUAACUAAUGAAAGACUCAGUAGAAUAGAGGUGCAAGAAGCUCACGGUACAAAAGAACUACUACACGGAAUCAUCUACUAACAGUAAAAAAAGAGUGCAGCUGAAUUAUAAUUUUUAAUUAAAAAAGCUUUAAUGAUUACAACAGUCCAAACUGAAUCAAACAAACCACAGCUCCCAACUUCAACUGAGCAACAACAAUAACACAGGAAUCAUCCAGCUUGACUAAACACUGCCGAGAUUUGAGCUCCAGAAAAACAAGCUCAUCCACAACUUGAAAUUUUAAAUCAAAUUCUCUUGAUAUAAAGAACAUUUUUUUAUAUGCUUUCCGAAAUGAAAGAUGCAGACGGAAAUGAAAAAUCUCGAAGAGAAAUGAUGAUUUGCUAAGCUAUUGAAGAUUUGUUAUCGAUUUUUUUCCCUAAUUUUCUACUUGAUUGCUCUCCGAUUUUUUCUAUAUCAUUCUCUCUGUUUGCCUUCUCCUCCUUUAACAAAGAGACUUGCCUCAUAUAUAUAUAGUGUUCAAGAAAAUCUCAAAAUAUCUGCCUAAAAUCCGAAAAUCUUAAAGUUUUU